RNAcentral lists this ribosomal RNA (119 nucleotides) under Pteropus alecto (black flying fox). The record is from RNAcentral. RNAcentral also lists the same sequence under 1 other name. Lineage: Eukaryota; Metazoa; Chordata; Mammalia; Chiroptera; Pteropodidae.
GUCUACGGCCAUGCCACUCUGAACAUGCCCGAUCCCGUCUGAUCUCAGAAGCUAAGCAGGGUUGGGCCUGGUUAGUACUUGGAUGGGAGACCUCCUAGGAGGACCAGGUGCUGUAGGAG